UACGUAGGGGGCAAGCGUUGUCCGGAAUCAUUGGGCGUAAAGCGCGCGUAGGCGGCCCGGUAAGUCCGCUGUAAAAGUCCAGGGCUCAACCCUGGAAAGCCGGUGGAUACUGUCGGGCUUGAGUACGGAAGAGGCGAGUGGAAUUCCUGGUGUAGCGGUGAAAUGCGCAGAUAUCAGGAGGAACACCAAUUGCGAAGGCAGCUCGCUGGGACGUUACUGACGCUGAGACGCGAAAGCGUGGGGAGCAAACAGG
This 253-nucleotide ribosomal RNA is filed under the name uncultured bacterium. RNAcentral describes it as "partial 16S ribosomal RNA". It matches the Rfam family "Bacterial small subunit ribosomal RNA", at positions 524 to 776 of the family's 1533-position model. The record is from RNAcentral.